This 497-nucleotide ribosomal RNA is filed under the name uncultured bacterium. RNAcentral's name for it is "partial 16S ribosomal RNA". It matches the Rfam family "Bacterial small subunit ribosomal RNA", at positions 28 to 507 of the family's 1533-position model. The record is from RNAcentral.
GAUGAACGCUGGCGACGUGCCUAAUACAUGCAAGUCGAGCGAACGGACGAGAAGCUUGCUUCUCUGAUGUUAGCGGCGGACGGGUGAGUAACACGUGGAUAACCUACCUAUGAGACUGGGAUAACUUCGGGAAACCGGAGCUAAUACCGGAUAAUAUUUUGAACCGCAUGGUUCAAAAGUGAAAGACGGUCUUGCUGUCACUUAUAGAUGGAUCCGCGCUGCAUUAGCUAGUUGGUAAGGUAACGGCUUACCAAGGCAACGAUGCAUAGCCGACCUGAGAGGGUGAUCGGCCACACUGGAACUGAGACACGGUCCAGACUCCUACGGGAGGCAGCAGUAGGGAAUCUUCCGCAAUGGGCGAAAGCCUGACGGAGCAACGCCGCGUGAGUGAUGAAGGUCUUCGGAUCGUAAAACUCUGUUAUUAGGGAAGAACAUAUGUGUAAGUAACUGUGCACAUCUUGACGGUACCUAAUCAGAAAGCCACGGCUAACUACGUG